Rattus norvegicus (Norway rat) is the source of this 30656-nucleotide non-coding RNA. NCBI's taxonomy places the organism in Eukaryota, Metazoa, Chordata, Mammalia, Rodentia, Muridae. The record is from RefSeq and is a predicted model, not a curated record.
UGAUCAUGUCCCGACAGGUACUUGGUCCCUGUGUUGAGAAGUCUCCAGACUGGCAUCUCUAAGGGCAGGGAUGUGAGCAGAAGUGGGGUCCUCCCCUGUGCUCUCAGGACUGUGUACACUUCUGAGAGUCCAGCUCUAUACCUCACAGCAUCUGAGUAAAGAAAGCUGUUGGAUGUGGUCAGCUGAGGUAGCAGGAUCAAACUGCAAGGAUCCUAUCCAAGUCUGUUCCUAACUUCCUGUGUUUAGAGCCCUCCAGGCAGCUUGAACUUGGACCAGAAAGGUGAGUCAAGAGGAAGCCUACCUGGUUGUCUCAGGAUUGUUUGCUCUUCUAAGAGUCAUGUUCUCUCCCCUGGUGAUCUUUUGACCCAGGAGUCAAUAGAGAAGUGUUGGACCGUGUGAGCUCCAAGCACAGGCAGAAACCAGAAGUAUCCUGAACAAGACCGCUCCUGGUUUCCUAUGACUUGAGGGAUCCAGGUGGGUCCUUCCUAUCCGAAAUUGUGGUCUUACCUCUGUUCUCUGGUGAGUCAGAGCUCCUGGAUAGUGGCUUUCUGCUCCGUGCACAGAUAAAGAGCAGAAGGAUCCUGUUCGGACUGCUCCUAGGAUCAUGUGUCCAGAAGGCUCCAGACAGGAACCUCUUGGGGGGCAAGGAUGUGAGCAGAAGUGUUUGUCUCCACAGUGCUCUCAGGAUUAAAAGCAUUUCUGACUGUCCAGCUCUCAACCCAUGAGAUCUUGGUGCUGAGAGCUUUGGGCCUGUGUCAUCCUGGCCACAGUUGGAAACCAGAAGUAUCCUGUUCAAGACUGCUCUAAGAUUCCUGUGUCCAGAGAGCUCCAGGCAGGUUCUUCUUGGGCCAGGAAUGUAAGCAGUAGUGGUGGUCUCCCCAGAGAUCUCAGGAGUGUCCACAUGUCUGAGAGUCCAGCUCUAUAAUUCAUGGGAUCUGGAUACAGAAAGCUGUAGGACUGGGCCAGCACGCAGCUGUAGGACUGGGCCAGCUCACGGUGCAGACAGAACCUGCAAGGGACUUAUCCCAGUCUGCUCCUAAGUUCCUGUGUUCAGAAGGAUCCAGAUGGGUUCACCUUGGGCCAGGAAUGAGAGACAAGAGGAGGCCUCCGCUCUUCUUUCAGGAUUUUCUGCACUUGUGAGAGUGCACUAUUUCCACAGGUUCCUGUGUCCAGAGGGUUCCAGAUUUAUUGAACAUGGCCCCGAAAAUGUGAGCCAAGAGGAGGACUCCCCUGUUCUCUCAGGAUUUUCUGCACUACUGAGAGUCUCACUCUCUCCUGAGGGGAUCUGUGUAUGGAGAACUGUUGGACUGGAUGAGAUCCAGGUGUGUCAGGGCUCUUGGAUACUUGGUUCCAGCUUCAUGAACUGUCUAAGACCAGAAGGAUCCUGUCCUUGACUCCACCUACAUUGCUGUGUCCAGAGGGCCCCAGGCAGGAUCCACGUGUGCCAGCAAGGUGAGCAGAAGAGGUGGUGUCCCCUGUCCUAUCAAGACUGUCUAAUCUUCUCCCAGUCAUACUGUCUCCCCAGGGGCUCUGGGUACUGAGAGCUGUGGAAACAGGUUAAUUCUGAGCAGAGUUAGAAACCAGAAGGACCCUGUCCGCGAUGGCUCAUUGUUUCUUCUGUUGUGAGAUCUCACAUGGGUCCCUUGGAGGAGAAGUGGUGGUCUUACCUCUGCUUUCAGUUGUGUCAGGCAUACUGGAGACUGCCUUUCCACUCCUGUCACAUGAGGAGACCUGAGGGAUAAUGUCCCUGACAUCACCUAGGUUCCUGUGUCCACAGCCUCCAAACUGGUACUUCUAGGGGCAGGGAUGUGAGCAGUAGUGCUGGUCUCCCUUGAGCUCUCAGGAUUGUCCACACUUCUGAGAGUCAUGAUGUCUUCCCAGGGGAUCUGUGCACAGAGAGUUUUGUUCCUGAGACAGCACUGGCAACAGCCAGAAACCAGAAGGAUCCUGUCCAAGUCUGCUCUUAGGUUGUUGCUUCCCCAGGGCUCCAGGCAGGUUCCUCUUGUGCCAGCUACGUGAACAGUAGUAGGGUGGUCUCCCCUGAGCUCCCAGGCCAGUUCCAGCUUUUGAGAGUCUCACUCUCUGUCCAAGGGAUCUGGGUACAGUGUGCUUUGGUCCUGUGUCAGCACUGUGAACACCUGGAAACCAGAAGAUUCCUGUCCAAAUCUGUUCUCAGUUUGCUUUGUCCACAGGGCUCUACGCAGGUUCCUCUUGGGCCAUGUAUGUGAGCAGUAGUGGUGGUCUCCCAUGAGCUGUCUGGAUUAUCUGCACUUCUGAGCGUCCAACUCUAUACCACAGGGGAUCUGGAUAGAGGAAACUGUAGGACAGGGUCAGCUCAGGGAGCAAGCAGCAACUGCGGGGAACCUUUCCCAGUCUGCUCCUUGGUUCCUGUGUCCUGUUGGCUGCAGGCAGAUUCAACGUUGUUCAGAAAGCUGAGCCAAGAGGAGGUCUCCCCUGUCUUCUCAGAAUUUUUGCACUACUAAGAGUCAGCCUUUCUCCUCAGAGGAUAUGUAUACACAGAACUGUGGGAUCAGGUCAAAUUCGGCCAGAGGCAGAAACAACAAGUCUACUGUCCCAGACAGCUCCAGGCUUCCUAUGUCCUGCAGGCUCCAGGAGGAUAUCUCAGGCCAGAAAUUGUGGUUUAACCUCUGCUGUCAUUUGUGUCAGCGCUACUGGAUACUGGCUUUCAGUUCCAUGCAUGGACAAAUACCAGAAAGAUCUGUCCCUGGCUGCUCCUGGGAUCCUGUGUCCAGAGGGCUCCAGGUGGGUUCCACUUGUGUCAGGAAGGUGAACAGAAGAGGUGAUCUCCCCUGUACACUCAAAAUGGUCCAGACUUCUGCGUGUCACGCUCUCUCCCCAGGGACGGGGGUACAGAGAGCUGUGGGACCAGGUCAGGUCCAGGCACAGGCACAAACUAGAAUGGGCCUAUCUCAGAUGACUCCUCCUCUGCUGUGUCCUGAGGAACCCAGGAGAGUACAUUGGAGCUGAAAUUGGGGUCUUACCUCUGCUUUCAGGUGUGUCAGGUAUAUAGGAGACUGGUUUUCAGUUAUGAUCGCAGGCUGAGACCAGAAAGAUCAUGUCCUGACAGCUCCUAGCUUCCUGUGUGCAGAAGGCUCCAGACUGGUAUUUUUAAUAUCAGGGAGGUUAGCAGAAAUGAUUGUCUCCCAUGUGCACUUAGGAUUGAACACACUUCUGAUAGUGCUGCUCUCUUUCCAGAGGAUUUUUGUACAGAGAACUGUGGGACUAGGUGAGCUCCAGGCACAGGUAGAAACCAGAAGUAUUCUGUGCCAGACGGCCCUAGGUUUCCUAUAUUCUGAAAUGUCCAGGAGAAUCCCUCUGAGAGAGAUGGCGGUCUUUCCUCUGCUCCCAGAUUAAACACCAUUCCUGGACGUUGGCUUUAGGCUCUAUGCAUGAGCAAGACCAGAAGGAUCCUGUCCCUCCCUGCUACUAAAUUCCUGUGCCCGGAGGGGUCCAGGCAGGUUCGUUUUGGGCCAGGGAAGUGAACAGAAGAAGUGGCCUUCCCUGUCUCUCAGGAUGGUUCACACUUCUGAGAGUCACGCUCUCCCCUCAGGAGAUGUGCAUACAGAGACUGGUGAGACCAAAUCAGUUUCAGGCACAGGCAGAAACCAGAAGUAUCCUGCUCCAGAUGGAUCAUGGUUUCCUUUGUCCUGAGGGCUCCAGUCAGGUCCCUUGGAGGAGAAGUGGUGCUCUUACCUCUGCUCUGAGGUGUGUCAUGGACACUGGAGUCUGGCUUUAGCUUUGAGCUCAGGUGGAGACCGGAAUGGUCAUGUCCCCGACAGGUACUUGGUCCCUGUGUUAAGAAGUCUCCAGACUGGCAUCUCUAAGGGCAGGGAUGUGAGCAGAAGUGGGGUCCUCCCCUGUGCUCUCAGGAUUGUCUGCACUUCUGAGAGUCCAGCUCUAUACCUCACAGCAUCUGAGUAAAGAAAGCUGUUGGAUGUGGUCAGCUGAGGUAGCAGGAUCAAACUGCAAGGAUCCUAUCCAAGUCUGUUCCUAACUUCCUGUGUUUAGAGCCCUCCAGGCAGCGUGAACUUGGACCAGAAAGGUGAGUCAAGAGGAAGCCUACCUGGUUGUCUCAGGAUUGUUUGCUCUUCUAAGAGUCAUGUUCUCUCCCCUGGUGAUCUUUUGACCCAGGAGUCAAUAGAGAAGUGUUGGACCGUGUGAGCUCCAAGCACAGGCAGAAACCAGAAGUAUCCUGAACAAGACCGCUCCUGGUUUCCUAUGACUUGAGGGAUCCAGGUGGGUCCUUCCUAUCCGAAAUUGUGGUCUUACCUCUGUUCUCUGGUGAGUCAGAGCUCCUGGAUAGUGGCUUUCUGCUCCGUGCACAGAUAAAGAGCAGAAGGAUCCUGUUCGGACUGCUCCUAGGAUCAUGUGUCCAGAAGGCUCCAGACAGGAACCUCUUGGGGGGCAAGGAUAUGAGCAGAAGUGUUUGUCUCCACAGUGCUCUCAGGAUUAAAAGCAUUUCUGACUGUCCAGCUCUCCUCCCCAUGAGAUCCUGGUGCUGAGAGCUUUGGGCCUGUGUCGCCCUGGCCACAGUUGGGAAACCAGAAGUAUCCUCUCCAAGACUGCUCUAAGAUUCCUGUGUCCAGAGGGCUCCAGGCAGGUUCUUCGUGGGCCAGGAACGUGCAGUAUUGGUUGUCUCCCCAGAGAUCUCAGGAUUAUCUGUACUUCUUACAGUCCACCUCUAUAUUUCAUAGGAUCUGGAUACAGAAAGCUAUAGGACUGGGCCACCUCAGGGUGCAGACAGAACUUGCAAGGGACCUAUACCAGUCUACUCCUAAGUUCCUGUGUCAGGAAGGAUCCAGAUGGGUUCAUCUUGGGCCAGGAAUGAGAGACAAGAGGAGGCCUCCCCUCUUCUUUCAGGAUUUUCUGCACUUCUGAGAGUGCACUAUUUCCACAGGUGAUCUGUGUAUAGAAAAUUAUGGGACCAAAUCAGUUCUGGGCUCAGUCACAAACCAGAGUUAUCCUGUCCCAGCCGACUCCUGGUUUCCUAAGUUCUGAGGGCUCCAUGAGCAUUUGUCAGAGCAGAAGUGUUGUUCUUAGCACUGCUCUCAAGUGUGUCAGUGCUCCUGGAUACUGGCUUUCAGCCCCAUGCAAGAGCAAAGACAAGAAGGAUCCCAUCCUUGGUUGCUCCUAGGAUCCUGUAUUUUGAUGGCUAGAGGGAGGGUUCUCUUGGGCCAGGAAUGUGUGCAGAAGUGGAGGUCUAUUCUGUGCUCUCAGGAAUGAACACACUUCUGAGAGUCCUUCUCUCUUCCCAAGUGAUCCUGGUACCGACAUCUGUGGGAGCAGGUCAUCUCAGGGCAAAGGCAGAUAUUAGAAUGAUCCGGUUCCAGAGGCUCUGAUAUUCCUGUGUCCAGAGGGGUCCAGGCAGGUUCUUCUUGUGCCAGGAAGGUGAGCAGAAGUUGGGGUCUCUCCUGUGCUCUCAAGAUUAUCCGCACUUCUGAGAGUCACACUGUCUCAUUGGAUCUGGGUACAGAGAGCUUUGGGAAAAGGGAGCUCUGGACACAGAUGAAAACCAGAAUUAUCCUGUUACAGAUCACUCCUGGUCUCCUAUGUCCUCUGGUUUCCAGGAGUGUCCCUCAGAGGAGAAGUCGUUGUCUUACCUCUGCUUUCCCAAUAUGUCAGUGUUCCUGGAGCCUGACUUUCAGCUCUGACCUUUGGCAAAGAAGCAAGGAAUCCUGUCCCUGUCUGCUCCUAGGUUCCUGUGACCAGAAGGCUCCAGGCUGGUCCCUCUUGGGCCAGGAAUGUGAGCAGUAGUGGUGGUCUCCUGUGUGCCAUCAGGCUUGAACAUAUUUCCGAUUGUCCAGUUCUAUUCCUCACUGGACCAGGGUUCAGAAACCUGAAAUAUCCCAUCCCAGUGAGCUCCUGGUUUCCAAUAUGUGAGGGGUCCAGAAACAUCUCCCCAACAGAAAUGGUGAUCUUACCUUUGCUCUCAGGUGUGAUAGCUUUCCCUCAUAUUGGCUUUCAGCUCCAUGCAUGGGCAAAUGGAUCCUGUCCCUGACUGCUCCAAGGUUCCUGUAUCUAGAGGGUUUCAGACUGGUUACUCUUGAGCCAGGAAGGUGAACAGAGGAGGUGGUCUCUCCUUAUUGGAUUUGGAUGUACAGAGCAGAGCGAACGGGUCUGUUUCGUGCAUAUGCAGAAACCAGAAGGAUUUCGUAUCAGUCUUUUCCUGGUUUCUUUUGUCCUGAUGGUUCCAAGAGGGUACCUCGGUAAAGAAAUUUUAGUCUUACUCCUGCUAUGAGGUGUGGGAGCGCUUUUGCAGACUGACUUUCAGCUCCAUACACAAGCAAAGACUAGAGGGAUCCUGCCCUUUACUGUUCCUGGAAUCUGUGUCCAAAGGGCUCCAGGUGGUUUCCUCUUGGCUUAGGAGAAGGUUAGCAGAAGUAGUGGACUCCGGGAGGUUUCAGGAGUGUCUGCACUUCUGUGUGUCCAGCUCUACUCCUCAUGAGAUCUGGGUACAAUAUGGUGUAAGACAUCGUCAGCUCUCUGUGCAGAUGAAAAGCGGAAGCAACCUGUCCCAGUCUACUCUUAGGUUUCUGUGUUCAUAAGACGCUAAUGUGGUUCCUCUUGGGCCAGGAAUGCGAGCAGAAGUGGUGGUAUUCCCUGUGUUCUCAGGAUUGAGAACACUUCUGAGAGUUUUCUUUCUCACUGGAGGUCUUUGUACAGAGAGCUUUGGGACUGAGGUAGUACUGCCCCAUCUGGAAACAGAAGAAUCCUGUCCAAGACUGCUCUGUUUCUUGUGUCCAGAGUGCCCCAUGCAGGUUCCUCUUGGGCCAGGUAUGGGUGCAGUAGUGUUGAUCUCCCCUAAACUCUCACGAUGUUUUGGAUUUCUGAGAGUCCAUAUUUAUGCCUCAUGUUACCCGCAUAAAGAAAACUGUAUGACUUGGUGAGCUCUGUAGCAUAACAAAACUUCCAUUAUCAUUUGCUUUUCUGUUUCUAGGUUCAUGUGUCCAGCGAGCCCCAGACUGUGUCCUCAUGGGCCGGGAAUAUGAGUAGAAGUGUUCGUCUCCUCUGUGCUAAUAGGACUGUUUGCAUUCUGAGAGUCCUGUUUUCUCCAGAGGGGAUCUGGGUACAGAGAGCUUUGGGCCUGUGACAGCACUGGGCUCCUCCAGAAACCCAAAGCUUCCUAUCCCAGUCUCCUCCUGGGUUCCAAUGCCCAGAGUACUCGAAGUUGAUUCCUCUUGGGUCAAAAAAUUUAGUCUAGAGGUGGUCUCUCCUGUUCUCUUAGAAUUAUUCACACUUCAGAGAGUCAUGCUCUCUCCCUUUGGAAUCUGUGUACAGUGAACUGUGGAGCAGGGUAAGCUCCAGGUUCAGGCAGAAACCAUAAGUAUCCUGUCCCAUGUGGUUCCUGGUUUCCUAUGUCCUAGUGGUAUAAGAGGGUCCAUCAGGCAGAAAUGGUGUCCUUACAUUUGCUCUCAGUUUUUCAAUGAUUCAGGAUACUGGUUUGAAGCUCUGUGCAUGGGGAAACACCAGCAUCAUGCUGUCCUGCCUGCUUCUAGCUUCCUGUGUCCAGAGGGCUCCAGUUGGGUUCCCCAUUGGUCAAGAAGUUGAACAGAAGAGUUGGUCUCCCCAGUGUUCUCAUGAUUUUCCACACUUUUGAAACUCAUACUCUCUCUUCUGGGGAUCUGGGUAUAGAGAGCUGUCGGUUCAGGUCAUUUUGAGCACAUCUAGAAAUAAGAAGUUUCCUGUGCCAGACUGUUCAUUGAUUUCUAUGUCCUGAGGGAUCCAGGAGGGUUUCUUGGUGCAGAAAUCAUGGUCUUAACUCUGGUAUCAGGUGUGAUCACAUUUGAAGGUUGUCUUUCAGCUCCUACGUUCCUUUGUCCAAAAGUGUCUAGGCAGGUUCCUCUAGGGCCAGGAAUGUGAGCAGAAGUGGUGGCCUCCCCUGUCCUCUCAGGAUUGAAUGCACUUCUGAGAGGCCCUCUCUCUCCCCUUGUGAUCUGGUACAGAGAACUGUGGGCCCGUGUCAGUACUGGGCUCAGGUGGAAACCAGAAGGAUCCUGUCCCAGUCUGCUGUUAGGUUCCUGUGUCCAGAUGCCUCCUGGCAGGUUCCUCAUAGGCCAGCUCUGUGAUCAGUCAGGUUCAUCUCCCCUGAGAUCUCAGGAAUAUCCGCUCUUCUGAGAGUCCAUCAACAUACCUCCUGGUAUAUGGAUACAGAAGAAACCUGUACAAUCUGAUCAGCUCCAUGUGCAGAAGGAAACAUCAAUGAUGCUAUCACAGUCUUCUCCUACAUUCUUGUGUCCGGAAGGAUGCAGGAGGUUUCCUCUUGGGCCAUGACCCUAAACAGAAAUGGUGGAAUCCCUUUUCUCUCAGGAGUGUCUGCACUUCUGAGAGUCAUGCUCUCUCCCCAGAAGAUCUGUGUAGAGAGAGCUGUGGGACCGCUAAGCUCCAGGCUCAGGCAGAAUGCAAAAGGAUCCUGUUCCAGUCGGCUCCUUGUUUCCUAUGUCUUGAGGGGUACAGGAAGCUCCAUCAGGCAGAAAUGGUGGCCUUACAUCUGCUUUCAGUUUUGUCAGUGCUCCAGGAUACUGGCUUUCAGCUCCUUAGACGGGCAAAGACCAGAAUGAUCCUGUCCCUGACUGCUCCUAGUUUCCUGUGUCCAGAGGGCUCCAGUCAGGUUCAUUUUGGGCAAAGAAGUUGAAAAGAAGAGGGGGUUACCAGGAUACCCCACACUUUAUUCUGAGUCCAGAGCACUCCAGGCAGGUUCCUCUUGCACUCCUAAUUGAACACAAGUGUCGUUCUCCUCUCUAUCCCGGGAUAGUCAGCACUUCUGUGAGUCCAGCUCUAUUCCUCAAGAGAUCUCUGUACAGAAGGGUGUAAGACCAGGUCAGUUCUGAAAGUCACACUCCCUUCUCAGGGGAUCGGGGUAUAGACAGCCAUCGGUCCUGGUCAUUUCCAGGCACAUGCAGAAACCACACAGAUCCUAUCCUAGUCAGUUUUUUGUUUCCUAGGUCCAGAGUGGUCCAUUAAGGUUUGUCGGUAAAGAAAUUGUGGUCUUACUUCUGUGUAAGGUGUGAGCACUUUUGGAGUCUGGAUCCAUCUCCUACAUUCUUAUGUCCAGGGGUGCAGGCAUGGUCCAUUCUCCUACAUUCUUACUGCCCAGAAGGGUCCUAGGUUCCUCUAGGGCCAGGAAUGUGAGGAGAAUUGGUGGUCUCCCCUGUGCUCUCAGGAAUGAAAGCACUUUUCAAAGUCAUGCUCUGUCACCAUGGGAUCUGGUUAGAAAGAACUCUGGGAUCAGGUCACCUCUAGACCCAAGCAGACAACUGGAGUAUCCUGUCCCCGAUGGCUCCUAUGUCCUGAGAAAUCCAGGAGGAUCCCACUGAGCAGAACUGGUGAUCUUGAUUCUCCUCUCAAGUAUGUCAGAGAUUUUGGAGAUUGACUUUCAGCUGUGCACAAAGAACAGAGCGAUCCUGUCCCUGACUGUUCCUAGGAUCCUGUAUUUUAAGGGCUCCUUGCAGGUUACUCUUGGGCUCCUAAUGUGAACAGAGGUUACCUGGAUAGUCAGAACUUCUGUGAGUGCAGUCUAUUCCUCAUGGGAUCUCAGUACAGAAGGGUGUAAGAACAGGUCAGCACUGAGAGCAAAUGGAAACUAGAAUGAUCCUGUUCCAGUCAGAACCUGGGUUCCUGCGUCCAGAAGGCCCUAGAAUGGUACCUCAUGGGCCAGGAAUGUGAGCAGAAGUUGUGAAAUCCCUUGUACUCUCAGGAUUGAACUCACUUCUGAGAGUCCUGCUCUCUUCCCAAGGGAUCUUAGUACAGAAAUCCGUAGGACAGGGUCAACACUGGCACAGGCAGAAAUUAGAAUAAUCCUGUCUCAGAUGGCUCCUACUUUUCUAUGUUGUGAGAUCUCCAGGCAGGUCCCUCGGUGUAGAAUUGGUGGUCUUACCUCUUCUUUCAGGUGUGUCAGGUAUACUGAGAAGGGCUUUGAGCUCCAAGAGCUGGAUGAGACCUGAUGGAUCUUGUAUCUGACAGCUCCUAGGUUCCUGUGUCCAGAAGGCUCCAGACUGGUACCUCUUGGUGCAGGGAUGUGUGCAGAAUUGGUGGUCUCCCCUGAGCUCUAAGGAUUGUCUGGUUUUCUGAGAGUCCAGGUCUAUACCUCAGCGGAUCUGCAUACAGAAAUCUCUAGGACUGGGUCAACUCAGGGAGCACGCAGAUAUUGUAAGGGACCUAUCCCAUUCUUUUCCUAGCUUCCUUUGUUCAAAUGCACCCGGUUGGUUGACCAUUGCCCAGAAAUGUGAUCCAAGAGGAGGCCUCACUGUUGUCUCAGAAUUUUUUUGCACUACUGAGAGUCUCACUCUCUCCAGAGGGGUCUGGGUAUGAAGAACUGUUAAACUAGGUCACAUCUGGGCACAGGCAGAAAUGAGAAGUACACUGUCCCAGACAGCUCCUGCUUUCCUAUAUCCCAAGGGAUCCAGAAGGGCAUAAUGGAGCAGAAAUUGUGGUCUUACCUCUGCUUUCAGGUGUGUCAGGUAUAUAGGAGACUGGUUUUUAGUUAUGAUCACAGGCUGAGACCAGAAAGAUCAUGUCCUGACAGCUCCUAGCUUCCUGUGUGCAGAAGGCUCCAGACUGGUUAUCUUUUAUAUCAGGGAUGUUAGCAGAAAUGAUGGUCUCCCAUGUGCACAUAGGAUUGAACACACUUCUGACAGUCCUGCUCUCUUUCCAUGGGAUUUUUGUACAGAGAACUGUGGGACUAGGUGAGCUCCAGGCAAAGGUAGAAACCAGAAGUAUUCUGUGCCAGACGGCCCUUGGUUUCCUAUAUUCUGAAAUGUCCAGGAGAAUCCCUCUGACAGAGAUGGCAGUCUUUCCUCUGCUCCCAGAUUUCACACGAUUCCUGGACUUUGGCUUUAGGCUCUAUGCAUGAGCAAGACCAGAAGGAUCCUGUCCCUCCCUGCUACUAAAUUCCUGUGCCCGGAGGGAUCCAGGCAGGUUCGUUUUGGGCCAGGAAAGUGAACGGAAGAAGUGGUCUUCUCUGUCUCUCAGGAUUGUUCACACUUCUGUGAGUCACGCUCCCCUCUCAGGGUAUGUGACUCUUUCCAAACAGGAUCUGAGUACAGAGAUUUUUGGGCCUGUGUCAGCACUGCACAGAGCUGGAAACCAGAAGGAUGCUGUCCAGAUCUGCUCUUAGGACCGUGUUUUAGAGGGAUCCAGGUGGGUUCCUCUUGGCCCAGGUAUGUGACCAAAAGUGGUGAUCUCCCUGUCACAUCAGGAUUGUCAACACUUCUAAGAGUCACAGUCUCUUUACCAUUUACCUGGAUACAGAGAGCUGGGAGACCAGUUCAGAUCCAGGAACAGGCAGAAACAAGAAGGAUGCUGUCCCAGAUGGCUCCUGGUUUACUAUGUCCUGAGGGCUGCAUGAGUGUAUCUCUGAGCAGAAAUUUUGGUCAUAACUCUACUCUCAGGUGUAUCAGCCCUCUUGGAGACUGGCUUCAACUCUGUGUACAGUCAGAGACUGGAGGAUCGUCUUUCAGACUGUCUUUGGAUCCUGUAUACAGAGCACUUUGGGCCUGUAACAGCACUGGGCUCAUUUGGAAACUAAAAUGUUGCUAUCCCAGUCUGCUCCUAGGUUCCAGUGUCCAGAGUGCUCGAGGUGGGUUCCUCUUGGGCCAGGAAAUUGAGCACAGAAGAGAUUUCUCCUGCGCUAUCCUGAUUGUGUGCACUUCUGAGAGUCAUGCUCUCUCCCCUGGGGAUCUGUGUACACAGAGCUAUGGAGCCAGGUAAGCUCCAGCUGCAGGCAGAAACCAGAAAUAUCCGUUCCCAAAUGGCGCCUGGUUUCCUAUGUCCUAGGGCUCCAGUAGUUUCCAUCAGGCAGAAAUGGUGGCCUUACCUUUGCUCUAAGUAUUCUCAGCACUCCUGGACACUGGAUUUCAGCUCUAUGCAUGGACAAAGACCAGAAUGAUUCUGUCCCUGACUGCUCCUAGUUUCCUGUUUCCUGAAGGUCUGUCAACAGGUUCGUCUUGGACCAGGAUGUUGAACAGAAGAGGGUGACACCUCUGCCUUCUCAUGAUGGCCCACACUUCUGAGAGUCACACUCUCUCUUCAGGGGACCUGGGUAUAGAGAUCCAUCGGUCCAGGUCAUUUCUAGGCACCUGCAGACACCAGAAGGAUCCUGUUCCAGACUGUGUUUUGUUACCUAUUUCCUGAGGGGUCUCGGAGGGUUCCUCAGUAAAGAAAUUGUGAUCUUACCUCUGUUAUCAGGUGGGAACGCUUUUGGAGACUGGCUUUCAGCUCCUAGGGUCCUUUGUCCAAAAGGGUCCAGGCCGGUUCCUCUAGGGCCAGGAAUGUGAGCAGGUGUUCUCCCCUGUGCACUCAGGAAUGAAUGCACUUCUGACUGUCCUUCCGUCUCCCCAGGGUAUCUAGGAACAGAUAGCUUUGUGCCUGUGUCAGCACUGGGCACAGCUGGAAACCAGAGGAUCCUGUCCAAGUCUGCUCUUAGGUUCCUGUGUCAAAAGGGCUCCAGAUGGGUUCCUCUGGGUUCAGAAAGGUGAGCAGAAUACGUAGUCUCCCUUUUUCUGUCAGGAUUGUCUGCAUUUCUGAGAGUUAUGUUCUCUCCCCAGGGGACCUGGGUACAGAGAACUGUGGGACCAGUUCAUUUCUGCGCACAGGUAGAAACCAGAUAGAUCCUGUCCCAGACAGCUCCUGGUUGCUUAUGUCCUGAGGGCUCCAGGAGGGUCUCACAGAGCAGAAGUGGUGGUCUUACCUCUCCUCUCAGGUGUGUCAGAGCAUUUGGAGACUGGCUUUCAGCUCCUUGCAUAGUCAAAGACCAGAAGGAUCCUGUCCCUGAUUGCUUGUAGGAUGCCUUAGUUUGAAGUCUCCAGGUGGGUUCCUCUUCGGCUAGUCAUGUGAGCAGAAGUAGUGUUCUCUCCUGAGCUCCCAAAUUAAUUCUCACUCCUGUGAGUCCACCUGCAUUCCUCAUGAGAUCUGGGUAUAGAAGGGUGUAAAGACAUACCAGCUCUGAGAGCAAAUGGAAACCAAAAUGAUCCUGUUCCAGUCAGGAUCCUGGGUUCCUGUUUCCAGAAGGCUCUAGAUUGGUACCUCUUGAGUAAGGAAUGUGAGCAGAGGUGUUGGACUCUCCUGAGAUCUCAGGAUUGAGCACACUUCUGAGACAAAAGCUUUCUCCUCAAGGGAUCUAGGUACAGAAAUCUGUGGGACAGGGUCAGCUCCGAGAACAGGCAGAAAUUAGAAUGGUCCUGUCCCAGAUGGCUCCUAGUUUCAUAUGCUGUGAGACAUCCAGGUGGGUCCCUCGGUGUAGAGAUGGUGGUCUUACCUCUUCUUUCAGGUCUGUCAGGUAUCCUGGAGAAGGGCUUUCAGCUCUGAGAGCAGGCUGAGAACUGAUGGAUCAUGAAUCUGACAGCUCUUAGGUUCCCAUGUCCAGAAGGCUCCAGACUGAUUCCUCUUGGGGCAGGGAUGUGAGCAGAAGUGGUGGUCUCCCCUGAGUUCUAAGGAUUGUUCACACUUCUGAAAGUCAUGGUCUCUCCCCAGGGUAUCUGUGCACAGAGAGCUUUGGUCCUGAGAUAGCACUGGCCACAGCUAGAAACCAGAAGGUUCCCGUCCAAGUCUGCUCUUAGGUUGUUGUGUCCAAAGGGCUCCAGGCAGGUUUCUCUUGGGCCAGGUAUGUGAAUAGUAUUUGUGUUCUUCCCAGAGCGAUUACGAUUGUCUGCACUUCUGAGAGUCAUGCUUUCUCCCCAGGGGAGCUGGGUAAACAGAGCUUUGGCCAGAGUCAGCCCUGUGCACAGCCACAAACCAAAAGCACCAUGUGCGAGAUUGCUCUUAGGUUCCUGUGUCAAGAGGGCUCCAGAUGGGUUCCUCUUUGGCAAGAAAAGUGAGCAGAAUACGUGGUCUCCCCUAUUCUGUCAGGAUUGUCUGCACUUAUGAGAGUCAUGUUCUCUCACCAGGGGAUCUGUGUACAGAGAUAUGUGGGACCAGUUCAGUUCUGGGCACAGGCUGAAACAAGAAAUAUGCUGUGCCAGAUGGCUACUGCUUUCUAAUGUACUGACAGCAUCAGGAGGAUGCAUUGGGGCAGAAAUUGUGGUCUUACCUCUACAUUCAAGUGUCUUAGGUAUAAUGGAUACUGGCUUUCAGCCAUGACAACAGGCUGAGACCAGAAGGAUCAUGUCCUGAGAGCUCCUAGUUUCCUAUGUGUAGAAGGCUCCAGAUUCGCACCUACUGGGUCAGGGAUGUGAACAGAAGUGCUGGUCUCCUCUAUGCUUUCAGGAUCGAACACUCUUCUGACAGUCUCUCUCUCUCCCCAGGGGAUCUGAGUAUGGAGAACGUUGGGCCUGUGUCAGCACUAGCCACAGCCAGAAACCAGAAAGAUCCUGUCCAAGUCUGCUCUUAGGUUCCUGUGUCUAGAGUGCUCCAAAGGGGGUUCCUCUUGUGCCAGCUAUGUGAACAGUAGUAGCGUGGUCUCCACUAAUCUCUCAUUCCGUUUUGCACUUUUGAGAGUCUCACUCUCUGUCCAAAGGAUCUGGGUACAGUGUGCUUUGGUCCUGUGUCAGCACUGUGAACACCUGGAAUCCAGAAGAUUCCUGUCCAAAUCUGUUCUCAGUUUGCUUUGUCCACUGGGCUCUACGCAGGUUCCUCUUGGGCCAUGUAUGUGAGCAGUAGUGGUGUUCUCCUAUGAGCUGUCUGGAUUAUCUGCACUUCUGAGCGUCCAACUCUAUACCACAGGGGAUCUGGAUAGAGGAAACUGUAGGACAGGGUCAGCUCAGGGAGCAAGCAGCAACUGCGGGGAACCUUUCCCAGUCUGCUCCUUGGUUCCUGUGUCCUGUUGGCUACAGGCAGAUUCAACGUUGUUCAGAAAGCUGAGCCAAGAGGAGGUCUCCCCUGUCUUCUAAGGAUUUUGUGCACUACUGAGAGUCACACUUUCUCCUCCGAGGAUAUGUGUACAUAGAACUGUGGGAUCAGGACAAAUUCGGCCAGAAUCAGAAACCACAAGUCUCCUGUCCCAGACAGCUCCUGGCUUCCUAUGUCCUGCAGGCUCCUGGAGGAUAUCUCAGGCCAUAAAUUGUGGUCUAACCUCUGCUGUCAGCGCUACUGGAUACUGGCUUUCAGUUCCAUGCAUGGACAAAUACCAGAAGGAUCUGUCCCUGACUGCUCCUGGGAUUCUGUGUCCAGAGGGCUCCAGGUGGGUUCCACUUGUGCCAGGAAGGUGAACAGAAGAGGUGAUCUCCCCUGUACACUCAAAAUGGUCCAGACUUCUGCGUGUCACGCUCUCUCCCCAGGGACGGGGGUACAGAGAGCUGUGGGACCAGGUCAGGUCCAGGCACAGGCACAAACUAGAAUGGUCCUAUCUCAGAUGGCUCCUGCUCUGCUGUGUCCUGAGGAACCCAGGAGAGUACAUUGGAGCUGAAAUGGGGGUCUUACCACUGCUUUCAGGUGUGUCAGGUAUAUAGGAGACUGGUUUUCAGUUAUGAUCGCAGGCUGAGACCAAAAAGAUCAUGUCCUGACAGCUCCUAGCUUCCUGUGUGCAGAAGGCUCCAGACUGGUAUUUUUAAUAUCAGGGAUGUUAGCAGAAAUGAUGGUCUCCCAUGUGCACUUAGGAUUGAACACACUUCUGACAGUCCAGCUCUAUUUCCAGAGGAUUUUUGUACAGAGAACUGUGGGACUAGGUGAGCUCCAGGCACAGGUAGAAACCAGAAGUAUUCUGUGCCAGACGGCCCUAGGUUUCCUAUAUUCUGAAAUGUCCAGGAGAAUCCCUCUGAGAGAGAUGGCGGUCUUUCCUCUGCUCCCAGAUUUCACACCAUUCCUGGACGUUGGUUUUAGGCUCCAUGCAUGAGCAAGACCAGAAGGAUCCUGUCCCUGACUGCUUCUAAUUUCCUGUGUCCAGAGGAAUCCAGGCAGGUUCCUCUUGGGCCAGGAAGUUGAACAGAAGUGGCCUUCCCUGUCUCUCAGGAUUGUUCACACUUCUGAGAGUCAUGCUCUCCCCUCAGGAGAUGUGCAUACAGAGACUGGUGAGACCAGAUCAGUUUCAGGCACAGGCCGAAACCAGAAGUAUCCUGCUCCAGAUGGAUCAUGGUUUCCUUUGUCCUGAGGGCUCCAGUCAGGUCCCUUGGAGGAGAAGUGGUGCUCUUACCUCUGCUCUCAGGUGUGUCAUGGACACUGGAGUCUGGCUUUAGCUUUGAGCUCAGGUGGAGACCGGAAUGGUCAUGUCCCCGACAGGUCCUUGGUUCCUGUGUUAAGAAGUCUCCAGACUGGUAUCUCUUAGGGCAGGGAUGUGAGCAGAAGUGGGGUCCUCCCCUGUGCUCUCAGGAUUGUCUGCACUUCUGAGAGUCCAGCUCUAUACCUCACAGCAUCUGAGUAAAGAAAGCUGUUGGAUGGGGUCAGCUGAGGUAGCAGGAUCAAACUGCAAGGAUCCUAUCCAAGUCUGUUCCUAACUUCCUGUGUUUAGAGCCCUCCAGGCAGCUUGAACUUGGACCAGAAAGGUGAGUCAAGAGGAAGCCUACCUGGUUGUCUCAGGAUUGUUUGCUCUUCUAAGUGUCAUAUUCUCUCCCCUGGUGAUUUUUUGACCCACGAGUCAAUAGAGAAGUGUUGGACCGUGUGAGCUCCAAGCACAGGCAGAAACCAGAAGUAUCCUGACCAAGACCGCUCCUGGUUUCCUAUGACUUGAAGGAUCCAGGUGGGUCCUUCCUAUCCGAAAUUGUGGUCUGAUCUCUGUUCUCUGGUGAGUCAGAGCUCCUGGAUAGUGGCUUUCUGCUCCGUGCACAGAUAAAGAGCAGAAGGAUCCUGUUCUGACUGCUCCUAGGAUCAUGUGUCCAGAAGGCUCCAGACAGGCACCUCUUGGGGGGCAAGGAUGUGAGCAGAAGUGUUUGUCUCCACAGUGCUCUCAGAAUCAAAAGCAUUUUUGACGGUCCAUCUCUCUCCCCAUGAGAUCUUGGUGCUGAGAUCUUUGGGCCUGUGUCACCCUGGCCACAGUUGGAAACCAGAAGUAUCUUGUCCAAGACUUCUCUAAGGUUCCUGUGUCCAGAGGGCUCCAGGCAGGUUCUUCUUGGGCCAGGAAUGUGAGCAGUAGUGGUGGCCUCCCCAGAGAUCUCAGGAGUGUCCACAUGUCUGAGAGUCCAGCUCUAUAAUUCAUGGGAUCUGGAUACAGAAAGCUGUAGGACUGGGCCAGCACGCAGCUGUAGGACUGGGCCAGCUCACGGUGCAGACAGAACCUGCAAGGGACUUAUCCCAGUCUGCUCCUAAGUUCCUGUGUUCAGAGGGAUCCAGAUGGAUUCACCUUGGGCCAGGAAUGAGACAAGAGGAGGCCUCCGCUCUUCUUUCAGGAUUUUCUGCACUUGUGAGAGUGCACUAUUUCCACAGGUGAUCUGUGUAUAGAAAAUUAUGGGACCAAAUCAGUUCUGGGCUCAGUCACAAACCAGAGUUAUCCUGUCCCAGGAAACGACUCCUUGUUUCCUAAGUUCUGAGGGCUCCAUGAGCAUUUGUCAGAACAGAAGUGUUGUUCUUACCACUGCUCUCAAGUGUGUCAGUGCUCCUGGAUACUGGCUUUCAGCCCCAUGCAAGAGCAAAGACAAGAAGGGUCCCAUCUUUGGUUGCUCCUCGGAUGCUGUAUUUUGAUGGCUAGAGGGAGGGUCCUCUUGGGCCAGGAAUGUGUGCAGAAGUGGAGGUCUAUUCUGUGCUCUCAGGAAUGAACAUACUUCUGAGAGUCCUUCCCUCUUCCCAUGGGAACCUGGUACAGAAAUCUGUGGGAGCAGGUCAUCUCAGGACACAGGCAGAAAUUAGAAUGAUCCUGUCCCAUUCGGUUCCUACAUUCUUGUGUCCAGAGGGGUCCAGGCAGGUUCUUCUUGUGCCAGGAAGGCGAGGAGAAGUUGGGGUCUCUCCUAUGCUCUCAAGAUUGUCCACACUUCUGAGAGUCACAUUGUCUCUCAUGGCAUCUGGGUAGUGAGAGCUUUGGUACCCGGCAGCUCUGGACACAGAUGAAAACCAGAAUUUUCCUGUUACAGAUGGCUCCUGGUCUCCUAUGUCCUGAGGUCUCCAGGAAUGUCCCUCAGAGGAGAAGUCGUUGUUUUACCUCGGCUAUCAAAUGUGUCAGUGUCCCUGGAGCCUGACUUUCAGCUCUGAACUUUGGCAAAAAACAGAAGGAUCCUGUCCCUGACUGCUCCUAGGUUCCUGUGACCAGAAGGCCCCAGGCUGGUCCCUCUUGGGCCAGAAAUGUGAGCAGAAGUGGUAGUCUCCCAUGUGCCCUCGGGCUUGAACAUAUUUCUGUGAGUCCAGUUCUAUUCCUCACAGGACCACGGUGCAGAGAGCUUGUGGGACCAGGUUAGCUCCUGGACCAGAUACAAACCAGAAAAUUCCUGUUCUAAUCUUCUCCUAGGUUCAUGUUUCGAGAAUGUUCCAAACGGGUUUCCUUUGAACCCAGAAUGUGAGCACAAGUCGUGGUUUCCCCUGUUCUCUCAUGCUUGUGUGUAUUUCUCUGAGGACAGCUCUGUCCCUCUCGGGAUCUAGGAACAGAUUGCUUGUGCCUGGGUCAGCUCUAGGCUCAGCCAAAGACCGGAUGGAUCCUGUCCUACACUGCUCCUAGGUUCCUGGGUCCAGAGGGCUCCAGGCAGGUUCCUCUUGGGCCAGGAAUAUGAGCCAAGAUUAGGUAUCUCCUGGGCUCUCCUAUUUGUCUGCACUUCUGAGAGUGAUGCCCUCCCCACAGCGGAUCUGUGUGCCGAGAAUGUGUGGCUCAGUAAGCUCCAGGCACAGGCCGAAACCAGAAAUAUCCUGUCCCAGUGUGGUCCUGGUUUCCUAUAUCUUGAGGGGUUCAGGAAGGUCUCUCCUGCAGAAAUGGUGGUCUUACCUCUACUCUCAGGUGUGAUAAUUUUCCUGAAUAUUGGCUUUCAGGUCCAUGCAUGGGCAAACAGAUCCUGUCCCUGACUGCUCCAGAGGGCUCCAGACGGGUUCCUCUUGAGCCAGGAAGGUGAACAGAAGAGGUGGUCUCCCCUGUCAUCACAGGACCUUCCACACUUCUUAGAGGCAUGGUCUCUCCUUCUUGGAUUUGGAUGUACAGAGCAGUGUGACCAGGUCAGUUUCAGGCAUAUGCAGAAACAAGAAGGAUGUUGUGUCAGCCUUUUCCUGGUUUUCUAUGUCCUGAUGCUCCCAGGAGGGUACCUCAGUAAAGAAAUUUUCGUCUUACCUCUGCUACGAGGUGUGGCAGCGCUUUUGGCACCCGGCUUUCAGCUCCCUGCUCUGGCAAAGACCAGAAGGAUCCUGUCCCUUACUGCUCCUAGAAUUAUGUGUCCUGAGGGCUCCAGGUGGUUUCCCCUUGGGCCAGGAUUGUGAGCAGAAGUAGUGGUCUCCACUGAGGAUUCAGGAUUGUCUGCAGUUCUGUGUGUCCAGCUCUAUUCCUCAUGGGAUCUGGGCACAGUAUGGUAUAAUACCUCAUCGGCUCUGUGCAAAGAUGAAAAGGAGAAGGAACCUGUCCCAGUCUGCUCCUAGGUUCCUGUGGCCAUAGGCUCUAGUGUGGUUCCUUGUGGGCCAGGAAUGUAAACAAAAGUGGUGGCUUCCCCUGUGCUCUCAGGAUUGAAUGCAUUUCUGAAAGUCCCUCUCUCUCCCCAUGGGAUCUCAGUACAGAAAUCUGUGAAACAAGGUCAGCACUGGCCCCAUCUGGAAACCAGAAGAAUUCUGUCCAAGUCUGCUCUAAAUUUCAUGUGUCCAGAGCUCUCCAUUGGGGUUCCUCUUGGGCCAGUAUGUGAGCAGGAGUGGUGGUCUCCUGAGUUCUCAGGAUGGUCUGCACUUCUCAGAAUCCUGCACUAUACUUCACGGAUCUGGAUACAAAUGCGGCAGGACAGGGCCAGCUCAACCUGCAGACAUAAACUGCCAGAACCCAUCCCAGUCUGCUCCUAGGUGCCUGUGUCCAGAGGACUGCAGGUGGAUUCAACUUGGUUCAGAAGGUUGAGCCAAGAGAAGGCCUCUGCUAUUCUCUCUGGAUUUUCUGCAUGUUUCAGUGUCCCACUCUCUCUUCCCAGAGGAUCUGGGUACAGAGAACUGUGGGACUUGGUCAAAUCCAAGCAGAGGCAGAAACCACCAGUAUUCUGUCCAAGACAGCUCCACGUUUCCUAUGUCCUGUGGGCUCCAGGAGGGUCCCUUGGAGCAGAUGCAGUGGUCUAACCUCUGCUCUCAGUUGUGUCAGCACUACUUGAUAUUGGCUUUCAGCUCCAUGCACGGGCAAAGACACAAAUGGUCCUGUCUCUGACUGUCCUAGGUUCCAGUGCCCAAAGUUCCCCAUGCAGGUUCCACUUGUGCCAGGAAGGUGACCAGAAGAGGUUUUCUCCCCUGUCCUCUCAGGACUGUCCAGUCUUCUGAGAGUCACAGACUUUCCAUAGUGUAUCUGGUACAGAGUGCUUUCAGGCCAGAUUGAUUCAGGGCAUAGGCAGAAACCAGAAGGACCCUGUCCCAAUGGUUUAGUGUUUCUGCUGUUGUGAGAUCUCCACACAGGUCCAUUGGAGGAUACUCCUCUCAGAUGUGUCAGGAAUACUGGAGACUGCCCUUCAGCUCCUUUCACAUGCAGAGACCUGAGGGAUAAUGUCCCUGACAGCUCCUAGUUUUCUGUGUCCACAGCCUCCAGACUGGUACUUCUAGGUGAAGGGAUGUGAGCAGUAGUGUUGGUCUCCCUUGAGCUCUCAGGAUUGUCUGCACUUCUGAGAGUCAUGAUGUCUUCCCAGGGGAUCUGGGCACAGAGAGCUGUGGGAUCAGGUCAGUUCUGGGUACAGGGAGGAACCAGAUAGAUCAUGUCCCAGACUGCUGCUGAUUUCCUUAGUCCUGCGGGACCCAGGCUGGGACCUCAGAGCAGAAGUCGUAAUCUUACAACUGCUCACAUGUGUGUCAGCAAUCAUGGAGACUGGCUUUAAGCUCUAAAUGCAGGUGCAGGCCAUCAGGGUCCUGUGUCUGACUGCUCCUAGGUUCCUUUGCCCAGAGUGCUCUAGGCAGGUACCUCUUGGGCCAGGGACAUGAACAGAAACUGUUCCCUCCCUUGUCUUCUCAGGACUGUCCACACUUUGAGAGUCCCACUGUCUCUGCAGGAAAUCUGGGUACAGAGAUUUGUGGGCCUGGGUCAGCUCUGGAUGCAGGCAAAGACCUUUAGCCUCCAGUCACAGAAUUCUCUUAGGUUCAUUAGUGCAGAGGCCUCCAGGCAGGUUCUGCUUGGGGAAGAGAUGUGAGCAGAAGUGGAGGCCUCCCCUGUUCUCUCAGGAUUCUCAGCACUUCUGAGAAUCCUGCUCUAUACCUCACAGUAUCUGAGUAAAGAAAGCUGUUGGAUGUGGUCAGCUGAGGUAGCAGGAUCAAACUGCAAGGAUCCUCUCCGAGUCUGUUCCUAGGUUCCAGUGUCCAGAGUCCUCCAAACGGCCUCAAGUUGGGCCAGAAAAGUGAGCCAAGAGAGGCCUCACCUGUUCUCUCAGGAUUAUUUGCUCUUCUAAAAGUCAUAUUCUCUACCAUGGUGAACUUUUGACUCAUGGGUCAAUAGAGAACUGUUGGACUGCGUUAGCUCCAGGCAACAGGCAGUAACCAGAUGUAUACUGACCCCGACAGAUCCUGACUUAUUGUGUCUUGAGGGCUCCAGAAGGAUCCUUCUGAGCAGAAAUUGUGGUCUUAUCUCUGUUCUCUGGACAGUGAGUGCUCCUGGAUAGUGGCUUUCAGCUCCAUGUACAGGCAAAGUCCAGAAGGGUCUUGUCCCUGACUGCUCCUAGGAUCAUGUGUCCAGAAGGCUCCAGACAGGUCCCUCUUGGAGCAAGGAUGUGAGCAGAAGUGCUGAUCUCCACUGUGCUCUCAGGAUUGAACGCAUUUCUGACAGUCCAGCCCUCACCCCAGGGGAUCUUGGUAGUAAGAGCUUUGGGCCUGUGCUACCACUGGUCAUAGUCGGAAACCAGAAGGAUCCUGUCAAGUCUGCUUUCAGGUUCCUGUGGCCAGAGGCCUCCUGGAGGGUUCUUCUUGGGCCAGGAAUGUGAGCAGAAGUGGUCCUCUCCCUAGAGCUCUGAGGAUUGUCCUCUCUUCUGACAGUCCAGCUCUGCAACUCACGGGAUCUGUAUACAGAAAGCUGUAUCACCAGGUCAGCCUCCGGUGCAGGCAGAACCUGCCAGGGUCCCAUCCCAGUCUGCUCCUAAGUUCCUUUGUGCAGAAGGAUCCACAAGGGUUCAACUUUGGCCACAAAGGCGAGAGAAGUGGAGGCCUGCCCUCUUCUCUCAGGAUUUUCCACACUUCUGAGAGUCAUAGUAUCUACCCAGGGGAUCUGAAUAUAGAGAAUGAUGGGACCAGAUCAGUUCUGGCACAGUCAGAAAACAGAAGUAUUCUGUCCCAGAUGGCUCCUGGUUUCCUAAGUCCUGAGGGCUCCAGUAAGGUUUGUCAGAGCAGAAGUGUUGUUCUUACCACUGCUCUCAAGUGUGUCAGUGCUCCUUGAUACUGACUUUCAGCUCCAUGCAAUAGCAAAGACAAAAAGGAUACUUUGCCUGGUUGCUCCUAGGGUCCUGUAUUUUGAGGGAUCCAGGGUGGGUACUUCUUGGACCAGGAAUGGGAGCACAAGUGGAGGUCUUCUCUGUUCUCUCAAGAUUGAACACAUUUCUGAGAGGCCUGCUCUCCUCCCACGGUGUCUCAGUACAGAAGUCUGUGGGACUGGGUCAUCUCAGGGAACAGGCACAAAUUAGAAUGAUCCUGUCCAAGAGGAUCCUGGUUUACUGUGUUCUGAGUCUCCAGGAAGGGACCUCACAGUAGAAGUGGUGGUCAUAUCUCUGCUUUCAGGUGAAUCUAGUACACUGCAGAGACUUUCAGCUAGGAUAUUAGGCAGAGAUUGGAAGGAUCAUGUCCCAGACAGCUCCUAGGUUCAUGGAACCAGAAGCCUCCAGAGUGGGAACUCUUAGGGCAGGGAUGUGAGGAGAAGUGGUGGUAUGCCCUGUGCAUUCAGGAUUGAAUGCACUUCUGACAGAUGUGCUCCCUGUCCAGGGGAUCUUGGUUAAGAGAGCUUGUUCCUGUGUCAGCACUGGGCACAGCCAGAAACCAGAAGGAUCCUGUCUAAUUUGGUACUUAAGUCCCUGUUUCAGAGGGAUGCAGGUGGGUACCUCUUGGGCCAGGCAUGUGAGCAGAAUCUCCCCUGUCCACAGAAUUGUCAGUAGUUCUUAAAAUUAUGCUCUCUCUCCCGAUGGUAUCUGGAUAGAGAAAACUGUGGGACCAGUUAAGUUUGGGAACAGGCAGAAACCAGAAUGAUCCUUUCCCAGAUGGCUCCUGGUUUCUUAUGUCCUAAGGGCUUCAGGAGAGUUUCUUUGAGCAGAAAUUGUGGUGUUACCUCUGCACUCGUAUUUGUCAGUACAUUUGGAGACAGGCUUUCAACUGCGUGCAAAGGCAAAGACAGGAAGGAUCUUAUCCCUGACUGCUCAUAGGAUCCUGUGUCCUGAGUCCUCCAGGAGGGUUCCACAUGGUCAGCAAUGUGAGCAGUAUUGGCGGUCUCCCCUGAGGUCUCAGGAAUGACUGCAUUUCUGAGAGUCAUGGUCACUCCCCAGGGAAUCUUGGUAGAGAGGUCUUCUGGACUUUGUCAGUACUGGGCACAGACAUAAACCAGAAGGAGCUUGUCAGAGUCUGCUUUUAGUUACCUGUGUCCAGAGGGUUCCAGGAGUGUUUCUCUUGGGCCAAGUACAUGAGCAGUAGUGUUGGUCUUUCCUGAGCUCUAAGGAUUGUCCACGCUUCUGAGAGUCCCGCUCUCUCCCUACGGGAUGUGGGUCCACAGACCUGUGGGAGCUGUUCAGUUCCAGGAACAGAGAGAAACCAGAAAGAUCCUGUCACACAUGGCUUCUGGUUACCUAUGUCCUGAGGGCUCCAGGAAUGUGUCUGUAAGGUGAAAUUGUGCUGUUAUGUUUGCUCUUAGGUGUGUCAUCAUUAUUGGAGACUGGCUUUCAGCUCCAUGCACAGGCAAAGACUGGAAGGAUUGUGUCUCUGACUGUUUCUAAUAUACUGUGCCCAGAAGUCCCCAGGCAAGUUCCUUUUGUAUCAGGAUGGUGAGCAGACGGUGAUCUCUCCUGUCUUCUCAGGAUUGUCUUCACUUCUGAGAGUCUGACUCUUUCCAAACAGGAUCUGAGUACAGAGAUUUUUGGGCCUGUAUCAGCACUGUACAGAAGGAUGCUGUCCAGAUCUGCUCUUAGGACCGUGUUUUAGAGGGAUCCAGGUGGGUUCCUCUUGGCCCAGGUAUGUGACCAAAAGUGGUGAUCUCCCUGUCACAUCAGGAUUGUCAACACUUCUAAGAGUCACAGUCUCUUUACCAUUUACCUGGAUACAGAGGGCUGGGAGACCAGUUCAGAUCCAGGAACAGGCAGAAACAAGAAGGAUGCUGUCCCAGAUGGCUCCUGGUUUACUAUGUCCUGAGGGCUGCAGGAGUUGUAUCUCUGAGCAGAAAUUCUGGUCAUAACUCUACUCUCAGGUGUAUCAGUGCUCUUGGCGACUGGCUUCAACUCCGUGUAUAGUCAAAGCCUCGAAGAUCGUGUUUCAGACUGUCUUUGGAUCCUGUAUACAGAGCACGUUGGGCCUGUAACAGCACUGGGCUCAUUCGGAAACUAAAAUGUUGCUAUCCCAGUCUGCUCCUAGGUUCCAGUGUCCAGAGUGCUCGAGGCGGGUUCCUCUUGGGCCAGGAAAUUGAGCACAGAAGAGAUUUCUCCUGCUCUAUCCUGAUUGUGUGCACUUCUGAGAGUCAUGCUCUCUCCCCAAGGGAUCUGUGUACAGAGAGCUAUGGAGCCAGGUAAGAUCCAGCUGCAGGCAGAAACCAGAAAUAUCCUGUCCCAAAUGGCGCCUGGUUUCCUAUGUCCUAGGGGUCCAGUAGUUUCCAUCAGGCAGAAAUGGUGGCAUUACCUUUGCUCUCAGUAUUGACAGCACUCCUGGACACUGGCUUUCAGCUCUAUGCAUGGGCAAAGACAAGAAUGACUCUGUCCCUGACUGCACCUAGUUUCCUGUUUCCUGAAGGUCUGUCAACAGGUUCCUCUUGGACCAGGAUGUUGAACAGAAGAGGGUGACACCUCUGCCUUCUCACGAUGGCCCACACUUCUGAGAGUCACACUCUCUCUUCAGGGGACCUGGGUAUAGAGAUCCAUCGGUCCAGGUCAUUUCUAGGCACCUGCAGACACCAGAAGGAUCCUGUUCCAGACUGUGUUUUGUUACCUAUUUCCGGAGGGGUCUCGGAGGGUUCCUCAGUAAAGAAAUUGUGAUCUUACCUCUGUUAUCAGGUGGGAACGCUUUUGGAGACUGGCUUUCAUCUCCUAGGUUCCUUUGUCCAAAAGGGUCCAGGCCGGUUCCUCUAGGGCCAGGAAUGUGAGCAGAAAUGGUGUUCUCCCCUGUGCACUCAGGAAUGAAUGCACUUCUGACUGUCCUGCUGUCUCCCCAGGGGAUCUAGGAACAGAUAGCUUUGUGCCUGUGUCAUCACCGGGCACACCUGGAAACCAGAGGAUCCUGUCCAAGUCUGCUCUUAGGUUCCUGUGUCAAAAGGGGUCUAGAUGGGUUCCUCUGGGGCUAGAAAGGUGAGCAGAAUACGUAGUCUCCCUUGUUCUGUCAGGAUUGUCUGCACUUCUGAGAGUCAUGUCCUCUCCCCAGUGGAUCUGGGUACAGAGAACUGUGGGAUUAGUUCAUUUACACUCACAGGCAAAACCCAAAGGAUCCUGUCCCAGAAAACUCCUGGUUUCCAAUCUCCUGAGGGCUGAGGAGUGCAUGUCCAAGGAGACAUUUUGACCUAACUUUGCUCUCAGUUUUGUCAUGCUUUUGGAGAGUGGCCUUCAAUACUGUGCACAGGCAAAGACUGGAACGAUUUUGUGCCUGACAGCUCCUAGGAUCCUGUGUUCUGAGUGUUCCCGUUGGGUUCCCCUUGGGUCAGUGAUGUGGACAGAAGUGAUUGUCCCCCUGAGCACUCAGGAUUGUCCUCACUUCUUUGAGUACAGCUCAGUUCCUCAUGGGAUCUGGGUAAAGAUUGUUGUAAGCUGGGUCAGCUCUGAGAGAGAGGGAAACCAGCAUGAUCCAGUCUAAGUUCGCUCCUAGGUUCUUGUGUUCAGAAGGCUCCCGACUGGUACUUCUUCAGCCAAGAAUGUGAGCAGAAGAGAUGAUCUCCCCUGUCUUCUCAGGACUGUCCACACUUCUGAGAGUCAUGGUCUCUCCCUAGGGGAUCUCAGUACAGAGAGCUGUGGGACCAGUUCAUUUCUGGUCACAGGUAGAAACCAAAUAGAUCCUGUCCCAGACAGCUACUGGUUGCUUAUGUCCUGAGGGCUCCAGGAGGGUCUCACAGAGCAGAAGUGGUGGUCUUCCCUCUCCUCUCAGGUGUGUCAGAGCAUUUGGAGACUGCCUUUCAGCUCCUUGCAUAGUCAAAGACCAGAAGGAUCCUGUCCCUGAUUGCUCGUAGGAUCCCGUAGUUUGAGGUCUCCAGGUGGGUUCCUCUUGGGCUAGUCAUGUGAGCAGAAGUGGUGUUCUCCCCUGAGCUCCCAAAUUAAGUCUCACUCCUGUGAGUCCACCUCCAUUCCUCAUGAGAUCUGGGUAUAUAAGGGUGUAAAGACAUACCAGCUCUGAGAGCAAAUGGAAACCAAAAUGAUCCUGUUCCAGUCAGGAUCCUGGGUUCCUGUUUCCAGAAGGCUCUAGAUUGUUACCGCUUGGGCAAGUAAUGUGAGCAGAAAUGUUGGACACCCCUGAGCUCUCAAGAUUGAACAUACUUCUGAGACAAAAGCUUUCUCCUCAAGGGAUCUAGGUACAGAAAUCUGUGGGACAGGGUAAGCUCCGGGCACAGGCACAAAUUAGAAUGAUCCUGCCUCAGAUGUCUCCUAGUUUCCUAUGCUCUGAGACAUCCAGGCGGGUCCCUCCGUGGAGAAUUGGGGUCUUACCUCUUCUUUCAGGUCUGUCAGGUAUCCUGGAGAAGGGCUUUCAGCUCUGAGAGCAGGCUGAGAACUGAUGGAUCAUGAAUCUGACAGCUCUUAGGUUCCCAUGUCCAGAAGGCUCCAGACUGAAUCCUCUUGGGGCAGGGAUGUGAGCAGAUGUGGUGGUCUCCCCUGAGUUCUAAGGAUUGUUCACACUUCUGAAAGUCAUGGUCUCUCCCCAGGGUAUCUGUGCACAGAGAGCUUUGGUCCUGAGACAGCACUGGCCACAGCUAGAAACCAGAAGGAUCCCGUCCAAGUCUGCUCUUAGGUUGUUGUGUCCAAAGGGCUCCAGGCAGGUUUCUCUUGGGCCAGGUUUGUGAAUAGUAUUUGUGUUCUUCCCUGAGCGAUUAGGAUUGUCUGCACUUCUAAGAGUCAUGCUUUCUCCCCAGGGGAGCUGGGUAAACAGAGCUUUGGGCCAGAAUCAGCCCUGUGCACAGCCAGAAACCAAAAGCACCAUGUGCGAGAUUGCUCUUAGGUUCCUGUGUCAAGAGGGCUCUAGAUGGGUUCCUCUUGGGCAAGAAACGUGAGCAGAAUAUGUCUCCCCUAUUCUGUCAGGAUUGUCUGCACUUAUGAGAGUCAUGUUCUCUCCCCAGGGGAUCUGGGUACAGAGAUCUGUGGGACCAGUUCAGUUCUGGGCACAGGCUGAAACAAGAGAUAUGCUGUCCCAGAUGGCUUCUGCUUUCUAAUGUACUGACAGCAUCAGGAGGAUGCAUUGGGGCAGAAAUUGUGGUCUUACCUCUACAUUCAAGUGUCUUAGGUAUAAUGGAUAGUGGCUUUCAGCUAUGAAAAUAGGCUGAGACCAGAAGGAUCAUGUCGUGAAAACUAGUUUCCUAUGUGUAGAAGGCUCCAGACUCGCACCUACUGGGUCAGGGAUGUGAGCAGAAGUGCUGGUCUCCUCUAUGUUCUCAGGAUCUAACACUCUUCUGACAGUCCCUCUCUCUCCCCAGGGGAUCUGAGUACGGAGAACUUUGGGCCUGUGUGUCAGCACUAGCCACAGCCAGAAACCAGAAGGAUCUUCUCCAAGUCUGCUCUUAGGUUCCUGUGUCUAGAGUGCUCCAACCGGGUUCCUCUUGUGCCAGCUAUGUAAAUAGUAGUAUCGUGGUCUCCACUAAGCUCUCAUUCGGUUUUGCACUUUUGAGAGUCCCAUUCUCUGUCCAACGGAUAUGGAUACAGUGUGCUUUGGUCCUGUGUCAGCACUGUGAACACCUGGAAACCAGAAGAUUCCUGUCCAAGUCUGUCCUCAGUUUGCUUUGUCCACAGGGCUCUAUGCAGGUUCCUCUUGAGCCAUGUAUGUGAGCAGUAGUGGUGGUCUCCCAUGAGCUGUCUGGAUUAUCUGCACUUCUGAGCGUCCAACUCUAUACCACAGGGGAUCUGGAUAGUAGAAACUGUAGGACAGGGUCAGCUCAGGGAGCAAGCAGCAACUGCAAGGAACCUUUCCCAGUCUGCUCCUUGGUUCCUGUGUCCAGGCGGAUGCAGGUGGAUUCAACUUUGUUCAGAAAGCUGAGCCAAGGAGAGGUCUCCCCUGUCUUCUCAAGAUUUUGUGCACUACUGAGAGUCACUCUUUCUCCUCAGAGGUUUUGGGUAAUUGAACUGUGGGAUCAGGUCAAAUCCAGGCAGAGGCAGAAACCACAAGUCUCCUGUCCAAGACAGCUCCUGGCUUCGAUGUCCUGCAGGCUCCUGGAGGAUAUCUCAGGCCAUAAAUUGUGAUCUAACCUCUGCUGUCAUUUGUGUCAGCGCUACUGGAUACUGGCUUUCAGUUCCAUGCAUGGGCAAACACCAGAAGGAUCUGUCCCUGACUGCUCCUGGGAUUCUGUGUCCAGAGGGCUCCAGGUGGGUUCCACUUGUGCCAGGAAGGUGAACAGAAGAGGUGAUCUCCCCUGUACACUCAAAAUGGUCCAGACUUCUGCGUGUCACGCUCUCUCCCCAGGGACGGGGGUACAGAGAGCUGUGGGACCAGGUCAGGUCCAGGCACAGGCACAAACUAGAAUGGUCCUAUCUCAGAUGACUCCUGUUCUGCUGUGUCCUGAGGAACCCAGGAGAGUACAUUGGAGCUGAAAUUGGGGUCUUACCUCUGCUUUCAGGUGUGUCAGGUAUAUAGGAGACUGGUUUUUAGUUAUGAUCGCAGGCUGAGACCAGAAAGAUCAUGUCCUGACAGCUCCUAGCUUCCUGUGUGCAGAAGGCUCCAGACUGGUAUUUUUAAUAUCAGGGAUGUUAGCAGAAAUGAUGGUCUCCCAUGUGCACUUAGGAUUGAACACACUUCUGACAGUCCAGCUCUAUUUCCAGAGGAUUUUUGUACAGAGAACUGUGGGACUAGGUGAGCUCCAGGCACAGGUAGAAACCAGAAGUAUUCUGUGCCAGACGGCCCUAGGUUUCCUGUAUCCUGAAAUGUCCAGGAGAAUCCCUCUGACAGAGAUGGCGGUCUUUCCUCUGCUCCCAGAUUUCACACCAUUACUGGACGUUGGUUUUAGGCUCCAUGCAUGAGCAAGACCAGAAGGAUCCUGUCCCUGACUGCUUCUAAUUUCCUGUGUCCAGAGGAAUCCAGGCAGGUUCCUCUUGGGCCAGGAAGUUGAACAGAAGUGGCCUUCCCUGUCUCUCAGGAUUGUUCACACUUCUGAGAGUCAUGCUCUCCCCUCAGGAGAUGUGCAUACAGAGACUGGUGAGACCAGAUCAGUUUCAGGCACAGGCCGAAACCAGAAGUAUCCUGCUCCAGAUGGAUCAUGGUUUCCUUUGUCCUGAGGGCUCCAGUCAGGUCCCUUGGAGGAGAAGUGGUGCUCUUACCUCUGCUCUCAGGUGUGUCAGGGACACUGGAGUCUGGCUUUAGCUUUGAGCUCAGGUGGAGACCGGAAUGUUCAUGUCCCCGACAGGUCCUUGGUUCCUGUGUUAAGAAGUCUCCAGACUGAGGUUCCUCAGAAAAUUGGACAUUGAACUGCUUGAGGAUCCAGCCAUACCUCUCUUGGGCAUAUACCCAAAAGAUGCCUCAACAUAUAAAAGAGACACGUGCUCCACUAUGUUCAUCGCAGCCUUAUUUAUAAUAGCCAGAAACUGGAAAGAACCCAGAUGCCCUUCAACAGAGGAAUGGAUACAGAAAAUGUGGUACAUCUACACAAUGGAAUAUUACUCAGCUAUCAAAAACAACGAGUUUAUGAAAUUCGUAGGCAAAUGGUUGGAACUGGAAAAUAUCAUCCUGAGUGAGCUAACCCACUCACAGAAAGACAUACAUGGUAUGCACUCAUUGAUAAGUGGCUAUUAGCCCAAAUGCUUGAAUUACCCUAGAUCCCUAGAACAAAGGAAACUCAAGACGGAUGAUCAAAAUGUGAAUGCUUCACUCCUUCUUUAAAUGAGGAAAAAGAAUACCCUUGGCAGGGAAGGGAGAGGCAAAGAUUAAAACAGAGACUGAAGGAACACCCAUUCAGAGCCUGCCCCACAUGUGGCCCAUACAUAUACAGCCACCCAAUUAGACAAGAUGGAUGAAGCAAAGAAGUGCAGACCGACAGGAGCCGGAUGUAGAUCGCUCCUGAGAGACACAGCCAGAAUACAGCAAAUACAGAGGCGAAUGCCAGCAGCAAACCACUGAACUGAGAAUAGGUCCCCCGUUGAAGGAAUCAGAGAAAGAACUGGAAGAGCUUGAAGGUGCUCGAGACCCCAAAAGUACAACAAUGUCAAGCAACCAGAGCUUCCAGGGACUAAGCCACUACCUAAAGACUAUACAUGGACUGACCCUGGACUCUGUCCCCAUAGGUAGCAAUGAAUAUCCUAGUAAGAGCACCAGUGGAAGGGGAAGCCCUGGGUCCUGCUAAGACUGAACCCCCAGUG